CGUACACUCCUACGGGAGGCAGCAGUGGGGAAUUUUGGACAAUGGGCGAAAGCCUGAUCCAGCCAUGCCGCGUGCAGGAUGAAGGCCUUCGGGUUGUAAACUGCUUUUGUACGGAACGAAACGGCCUUUUCUAAUAAAGAGGGCUAAUGACGGUACCGUAAGAAUAAGCACCGGCUAACUACGUGCCAGCAGCCGCGGUAAUACGUAGGGUGCAAGCGUUAAUCGGAAUUACUGGGCGUAAAGCGUGCGCAGGCGGUUAUGUAAGACAGUUGUGAAAUCCCCGGGCUCAACCUGGGAACUGCAUCUGUAACUGCAUAGCUAGAGUACGGUAGAGGGGGAUGGAAUUCCGCGUGUAGCAGUGAAAUGCGUAGAUAUGCGGAGGAACACCGAUGGCGAAGGCAAUCCCCUGGACCUGUACUGACGCUCAUGCACGAAAGCGUGGGGAGCAAACAGGAUUAGAAACCCUAGUAGUCCCAUGA
RNAcentral lists this ribosomal RNA (479 nucleotides) under uncultured organism. RNAcentral's name for it is "partial 16S ribosomal RNA". It matches the Rfam family "Bacterial small subunit ribosomal RNA", at positions 330 to 800 of the family's 1533-position model. The record is from RNAcentral.